AUUGAACGCUGGCGGCAGGCCUAACACAUGCAAGUCGGACGGUAGCACAGAGGAGCUUGCUCCUCGGGUGACGAGUGGCGGACGGGUGAGUAAUGGCUGGGGAUCUGCCCGAUACCGGGGGAUAACCACGGGAAACGGUGGCUAAUACCGCAUAACGUCGCAAGACCAAAGAGGGGGACCUUCGGGCCUCUCACUAUCGGAUGAACCCAGAUGGGAUUAGCUAGUAGGCGGGGUAAUGGCCCACCUAGGCGACGAUCCCUAGCUGGUCUGAGAGGAUGACCAGCCACACUGGAACUGAGACACGGUCCAGACUCCUACGGGAGGCAGCAGUGGGGAAUAUUGCACAAUGGGCGCAAGCCUGAUGCAGCCAUGCCGCGUGUAUGAAGAAGGCCUUCGGGUUGUAAAGUACUUUCAGCGGGGAGGAAGGCGAUGUGGUUAAUAGCCUUGUCGAUUGACGUUACCCGCAGAAGAAGCACCGGCUAACUCCGUGCCAGCCGCCGCCGUAA
This 506-nucleotide ribosomal RNA is filed under the name uncultured bacterium. Its description in RNAcentral is "partial 16S ribosomal RNA". It matches the Rfam family "Bacterial small subunit ribosomal RNA", at positions 29 to 523 of the family's 1533-position model. The record is from RNAcentral.